GAUGAACGCUGGCGGCGUGCCUAACACAUGCAAGUCGAGCGAAGAUUACAGACGGUUGCUUUCGGGUUGUUACCUGUGAUUCUUUGAGUCGGACGGGUGAGUAACGCCUAGGCGACCUGCCCUAUACCGGGGAAUCGCAGCUGGUACCGGCUGGUAAUACCGCCUAAAUGGGUUAAAUCUCAUAAAUUGAUUUGGAAAUGCGCAAUCAGGUAUAGGAUGGGCAUGCAUCAGAUUAGCCAGUUGGCAGUGUAAAAGCCUACCAAAGCGACGAUCGGUAGCAGGACUGAGAGGACGGGCGGCCACAUUGGGAGUGAGACACGAGCCAAACUCCUACGGGAGGCAGCAGUAGGGGAUAGUGCACAAUGGAGGAAACUCUGAAGGAGCGACGCCGCGUGAGUCAAGAAGUAUUUCGGUAAGUAAAGCUCUAACAGAAGGGAAGAUGAUGACGGUACCUGACUAAGAAGCCCCGGCUAACUACGUG
Molecule: ribosomal RNA, 481 nt
Filed under: uncultured bacterium
Lineage: Bacteria
Description: partial 16S ribosomal RNA
Rfam family: Bacterial small subunit ribosomal RNA
Source: RNAcentral